Molecule: transfer RNA, 72 nt
Filed under: Camelus bactrianus (Bactrian camel)
Lineage: Eukaryota; Metazoa; Chordata; Mammalia; Artiodactyla; Camelidae
Also listed under: 2 other names
Rfam family: tRNA
About the family: Transfer RNA (tRNA) molecules are approximately 80 nucleotides in length. Their secondary structure includes four short double-helical elements and three loops (D, anti-codon, and T loops).
Source: Rfam by way of RNAcentral
AGGGUAAUAGCUCAGUGGUAGAGCACAUGCUUAGUGUGCACGAGGUCCUGGGUUCAUCCCCCGGUACCUCCA